CCUACGGGGGGCUGCAGCAACGAAUCUUCCCCAAUGCCGGAAACGGUGAGGGAGCGACGCCGCGUGAGGACGAAGUUCUUCGGAAUGUAAACUUCUGUAAGGAUCGCAAAUAUAGUCUAAAAGGGGCGGCUAACUCUGUGCCAGCAGCCGCGGUAAUACAGAGGCCCCAAGCGUUACUGAGAAUCACUGGGUUUAAAGGGUGCGUAGGUGGCGCGUUAAGUCUGUUGUGAAAUCCCUGGGCUCAACCCAGGAAAUGCUUCGGAUACUGGCGUGCUUGAGGCUAGUAGAGGUCACUGGAACUGACGGUGGAGCGGUGAAAUGCGUAGAUAUCGUCAGGAACGCCGGUGGUGAAGACGGGUGACUGGCUGUUCUGACACUGAGGCACGAAAGCGUGGGGAGCGAACGGGAUUAGAUACCCUUGUAGUC
Molecule: ribosomal RNA, 426 nt
Filed under: uncultured bacterium
Lineage: Bacteria
Description: partial 16S ribosomal RNA
Rfam family: Bacterial small subunit ribosomal RNA
Source: RNAcentral